GCAACGAGCGCACCCUUAGCCUUUAGUUGCCAGCAGUUCGGCUGGGCACUCUAAAGGGACUGCCGGUGUUAAACCGGAGGAAGGUGGGGAUGACGUCAAGUCCUCAUGGCCUUUAUGACCAGGGCUACACACGUACUACAAUGGCCGAUACAAAGGGCAGCGACACUGCGAGGUGAAGCCAAUCCCGUAAAAUCAGUCUCAGUCCGGAUUGGAGUCUGCAACUCGACUCCAUGAAGUUGGAAUCGCUAGUAAUCGUGGAUCAGCAUGCCACGGUGAAUACGUUCCCGGGCCUU
Molecule: ribosomal RNA, 293 nt
Filed under: uncultured Desulfobulbus sp.
Lineage: Bacteria; Pseudomonadati; Thermodesulfobacteriota; Desulfobulbia; Desulfobulbales; Desulfobulbaceae
Description: partial 16S ribosomal RNA
Rfam family: Bacterial small subunit ribosomal RNA
Source: RNAcentral